RNAcentral lists this transfer RNA (90 nucleotides) under Strigamia maritima. RNAcentral's name for it is "tRNA-Tyr for anticodon GUA". It matches the Rfam family "tRNA". From Rfam's summary of the family: Transfer RNA (tRNA) molecules are approximately 80 nucleotides in length. Their secondary structure includes four short double-helical elements and three loops (D, anti-codon, and T loops). Further hydrogen bonds mediate the characteristic L-shaped molecular structure. tRNAs have two regions of fundamental functional importance: the anti-codon, which is responsible for specific mRNA codon recognition, and the 3' end, to which the tRNAs corresponding amino acid is attached (by aminoacyl-tRNA synthetases). tRNAs cope with the degeneracy of the genetic code in two manners: having more than one tRNA (with a specific anti-codon) for a particular amino acid; and 'wobble' base-pairing, i.e. permitting non-standard base-pairing at the 3rd anti-codon position. The record is from Rfam by way of RNAcentral. Lineage: Eukaryota; Metazoa; Arthropoda; Chilopoda; Geophilomorpha; Linotaeniidae.
CCGUCGAUAGCUCAGUUGGUAGAGCGGUGGACUGUAGUGGUCAUUUCUGUAGUUAUCCAUAGGUCGCUGGUUCAAAUCCGGCUCGACGGA